Molecule: ribosomal RNA, 534 nt
Filed under: uncultured bacterium
Lineage: Bacteria
Description: bacterial LSU rRNA
Rfam family: Bacterial large subunit ribosomal RNA
Source: RNAcentral
AACCAGGUUAAUAUUCCUGGGCCAGGAGGAUGUGACGGAUGCUCACUGUUGUUCGGUCUUAUCGGAUUGACCGGGCAGCUGCGGUGUCCCUGGAAAUAGCCCUCCAUCAGACCGUACCCUAAACCGACACAGGUGGACUGGUAGAGUAUACCAAGGCGCUUGAGAGAACCACGUCAAAGGAACUCGGCAAAAUGCUCCCGUAAGUUCGCGAGAAGGGAGCCCCGUCUGUGCGCAAGCAUGGGCGGGGGGCACAAACUAGGGGGUGGCGACUGUUUACUUAAAACACAGGGCUCUGCGAAGUCGCAAGACGACGUAUAGGGUCUGACGCCUGCCCGGUGCUGGAAGGUUAAAAGGAGGGGUGCAAGCUCUGAAUUGAAGCCCCAGUAAACGGCGGCCGUAACAAUAACGGUCCUAAGGUAGCGAAAUUCCUUGUCGGGUAAGUUCCGACCUGCACGAAUGGCGUAACGAUCUCCCCGCUGUCUCUGACGUGGACUCAGCGAAAUUGAACUGUGUGUCAAGAUGCACACUACCCGC